AACCUAGCCUGAAUGGCCUAAUAAUCCUAACCCAAUGAACCCAAAGGCCCAAAUGCAAAACUGGCCCAGUGGCCUAAAUAAUCCAAAGGCUAGUUUCAGAAGGGGAAACCCUAGUCUACUGAUUAGCGCCGCAACAAUGGACUUCGCCCCUAGUCGUCCGAUUUCAAAGGAAGUUUCGGGAAUGUGCUAGAGCAGCACCAAAGGGUCGGGCUCCCACGAGCAAUUUCCCACGCUUGGCUUCCACCUCACAAGGGUCUUCUCCUCUGUACAGCCACGCCUGCAACAGAAUACACGAGAAACAACCAAAAAAAUACACAGCCAAAUGAUAAAAGGAAAAUUUGAUUUUUAUUUUUUAUUUAUUUUGUAAAUCUGGCUAUAAAAGUCCAUCAUUUGUACUCUGAAAAGGUUAGGCAUAUUGAGUAAAAAGAAACCAGAAAUUAUUAAAAGGUGAUUUCGAAUGCCUCAUACUGGCUUUCCCUAAAUUUGGUCCAUAUUUUUUAUUUUUCAUGUGGGUUUCUGCAUAAGAAAGGUAAAAAAAAAAACUUACCUUCAAAUGAGCCAUUGGAGGCCGUAUCUUCUUUGUUGAAAUCGAAACUUGAGAUAGGUUCUCGAGGCUAAAAUCUGACCUUUUGAGGCAAGGUUUAGAAUGGGGGAAUGGAAUGAUUUCAUCGCCUGCUAUCAUCCACCGAUUAUAAUGGUGGAAUGGUGGUGGUUGAAUGGCAGAUCGAAAAGGGGUAAACAUCUAGGGUUUUCCCUUUUCUUCCCCCCAUUUGUUUUGCUGCGAUGCUUAGAUUUGUUUUAGGUUUGUUUUUCUCUUUUAAUUAGCAAAAUGAAGUGGCGUCAUUUAAGGCUUGAUUCGGUAGUCUUAAAAUGACGCCGUGUAGGCUUGCCUGAUGCGAUCCAAUUCUUUGCCCCCAGGAUCUGCGUGUUUUUAGCGGGGAGGGAUAAUUUUGCGCUAGGUCCUUCCUCUUCGCACGGGCAUUCAAUUGCACUCUGUUUACUUUAUUUUGUUUUUAAAUUUGGUUCUGUUAUUUGUGCGUAUUUGCUAAUUGAUCCGCGCCUCAAUACAGCGUUUUGGGGCUUGGAUUAUUUCCAGUUUUAGUCCCUGUGCAUUCGCAUGCGUGGCGCGCUAGUCCUAAUUUUAACCUCAAUGACCAAUUUUAUUUGUGAAUUAUCUCUUCUAUUUUAAUUCAAUUUUAAUUAAGUUUUUUAUUUGUAUGACUUAUUAUUUUAAAAUUCAUUUAAUAUUUGUAUAUAUGUGUUGAUUUAAUUUAACUUUUUUUUCUUUUGUGCUUAUUUGUAUAAUUAUGUUGAAGUUCUUUUUUAUAUCAUAUAAUUUUAACAUUUUGUAUAGUAUUUGAUUCAGUUUUUUUUUAUAUACUUGUACCUAUAUUAUUUUAAUUGAGUCUUCUAUUCAUUAUGAUUUUGAAAGUCCAUUUAGUUUUUUUUAUAUGUAUGUUAAACCAUUUUGAUAACUUUACUUUAUUUUAUAAAAUCAUUACUUUGAAGUUUAUUUUUAUAUCGUAUUAUUUUUAACUAUAUAUAUAAUAUUUUGUUUUAAUGCUUUUAUAUAUAUUUGUACAUAUAUAAUUUAUAUAUUAAUUUAAUCUUAUAUGAACUAUUAAUUCCAUGUUAUUCUUACAUAUAACUGUUUCUAAAUUUGUUUAUAUAUAUAUGUCUUUCAAAUCUAUUGUGUACAUAAUUGGUUUUCUAAGAUCAUAUUUUAUUAAUUUAUUAUGUAUUUUUUUACUAUUUCAUAUUUUGUGUAUUAUUUAAAUUCUCCAUCAUUGUGUGCAUAUUGUCAAAUUUUUUAUAAAUAUACUUUUUUUUAAAACAUUUGGCAUAUUAUUUGAUUUAAAUGUCUUCUUUUUGCAACAUUAAAUUUUAAAAAAAUUAUAUAUAUUCUUUAUUUUUCUUAUAAAUUAUUUCAAGUUCUAGCAUAUGUUAUUAGCUCGUUAAUCUAUCAAUUUUAGAAAUUAUUUUUGUAUCAUAUUGGUUUUAUAUUGUUUGAUAUCUCAUGUGUUAAUUGUCUUUAUAUUAUUUCAUGUAUAUUUGCUACACCACAUUUACUCAUUUUUUAUGUGUUAUUAAAUUAAUUGUUGUUCACCCAUGCUUGUGAAUUUGGUUAUAUUUUGGGUUAAUGGUUUGUUUGGUUAAUUGGUUAAGUAAGGCUAUGUUAUUUUCGUUCACCAACUAUUGUAUUUUAUGCACGUAUAUUAUCCCAUGUUUAUUAUUUUUUCUUUUGGUUUACAAAAUGUUGCAUUAUAAUUUCAAACCCUUUAAAAUCAAUUAUUUCAUUAUAUUACAAGUAAAACUAAGACAUUUUGAGCUAGUUUAUAAUGGUUCAUUAAAUUUUUUUUUUCAAAGAAGGCAAUGCUCAAUAUUUAGAAAUUCGAAGAAUCGUGCCCUACCGUGUUGAGUUUCGAUUCUUCGUUGGACUAAAUAAUUGGACACCAUUUUGUAAUUUUCAAUGUAUAAGCUUUUGGAAGUCAAAAAUCAAUCGUGUUUUCAAAGGUAUAAAGGAUCGUGCCCUAUCGCGCUAGGUGUGGUGCUGUAUACCUUCGAAAUGAGAGAGUUUUGAUGACCAACUUGAACCACUUAAAUGUUUUAAAAGGAACCAUAUUUCAAAAUAUUUUUCCCUAAAAAUCUUAGACAUAAGGACAGCACCUAAUCAAUCUGGUACCAAUUUUUGGGAGUAGUGGGGGUGUUAAUCCUUCCUUAUACGUAAUCGGCUCUCGAACCUAUUUUUUUAAUUUUACGUAGACCAAAACUGAUUUAAAUGGAACAAAAUUUUUUAUUAGGUGAUCCAAUCACACCUAAACAAAAAGAUUGGUAGCGACUCCACAUUUUCGUUUUAAAAGUUGAUUUCCAUUAUUUAAAAAAAAAAUAGUUUCGACAGCUUGCCGACUCCACUAGGGACUGAACAAGAGAGUCAAGCCAUAAAAUUGAUUAUUUGCUAUCCUUUUGUCAAAGAAUUGAAAAUUUGUUUUGAAAAUCAUGAUUCUUUUGAUUGCAUUUGUUUGUAUGAUUAUUGUGGUUUGGGCCUUGUAGAAUAAUAUUGCAUUGCAUUGCAUGACUGCUGUGGUUAUACUUGUUAAGUGGGAGUAAGAAACUAUACUUUCGUGAGGUUUUCACCUCACAUGGGCUAGUGGAUUGCUUUCAGGAUACAUCCGUACCUAUGAUUUCGUGAGAUUUUCAUCUUCGUAUGGUUGUAGGGAAAUGUAUUCCCCUGAACCGAACUCGAUUCAUAUGAGCCUAUAAUGGGUGAGGAUUGAGGAAUCUGCUAGUUCAUGUACUCUUUCUUUAGAACUGAGCCACAUAUAGUGAACCUUAAGAGCUAUCCUUAGGUAGAGUUGUGUUAAGCCUUAAUAAUUGCCCAUAUAUGUGUUUGAUUAUCUUUUUUUUUGCUUGUAUUUUAUUAUUUAUAUCUAAUACUGACUUACUAUGUUUUUUUAUUGUGUUUUGCAUAACAUUGCAUACUAAAUGAGGUUUUGAUUCGUAUUCGAUUACUAAGUUAGAAGAUUUAACAUGGAGAAUGAAUUUCUUGAUAAAGUUGAGGAUAAUGUGGUGCCCAUGCAUGGUCAGAGAAGUUACAAUCAUAGAAAGGGGAUAGCCUGGCAGAAGGAUAUACAUCAGAGUUGCAGAACUUCACUCGCAUCAAUGUGACACAGAAUAAGUUGCAAGAGUUGAGAGAUAUAUUGGCUCGAUGGGAUGAGGGAACCAAACAAUUGUUCUAUCAGAGCCAUGGUGAUAUACCUUACUUGCUCGAUAUUAAGGUGGACAAGCAUUUGUUCCGAGUUAUGGCUCAAUUUUGGAAUUCUACCUACAAUUGUUUCACUUUUAGAGAAGUAGACUUGAUGCCUACCGUGGAGGAAUACACUACCUUGCUAAGGUGUCCAAAAGUUCAAGUCAGAAAAGCUUAUGCUAAAGUUUUGAAUGGUCCAACUUUUGCGAAGAGAUUGAUGAAUAUUUCGGGGAUGAGUGAGCCUUGGAUCACUGCUCGAAUUCAACAAAAGGAGGACAGUAAAUGUAUUCCUUGGGAGAAUUUGAGAGAUUUGGUUUUAACACAUCCGGAUGAAAGGAAAAGGGUCGAUAUCUUCACAUUAAGUAUCUAUGGAUUGGUGAUUUUUCCUAAGGCUUUAAGGCAUGUGGAUGAGGCAGUCACUUAUUUAUUCGAUCGUCUUGAGAAGGGAAUCACACUUGUACCUACAAUACUGGCUGAGAUGUUCAGAUCCUUGAGCAUGUGUCGGAGAACAGGCGAAGGUCGAUUUAUUAGAUAUGCACAGCUGUUGAUGGUGUGGUUUCAUGGGCAUUUUUGGAAAGUGAACAAUGUUUCUUACCGGGUCUUCUCUGAAAGUUAUUCCCCAUUAAAGGAGGAGGUAGCUAUGCAAAAGAGAGACGAUAUUUUAGAGGAGAAAUAGAUGGAAAUUCUUCAAAAUCUCAAAGAGGAGGAUAUAGAGUAGAGAGAUUUUUGGAUGGUUCCUGAUGAGAUCCUGCAUCGAUGUGGGAACUUUGAUUGGGUACCAUUGUCAGGAAUUUGGGGAGCCACUGGAUAUACUCCUUUGCUUGCAUUAAAGCAGUAUAAAUCGAGGCAGUUUAUACCCACGACUUACGGACUUGCUCAAUGCAAAUUCCCAUAUAAGGGUGACCAUUAUAAGAAGAAGGUUCAGGAAAUGUCUGAUGCUUGGAAGCAAACUCGUUGGAUGAAGAGGUUGGCUGUUGGUUCUAUGACAACACCUGAGUACAAUGGAUGGUUUAGGAAAAGGGUCAAUGAUAAUAUUCUUAGAUCAAGUUUAGAAGGCACCAGACCAAUGGAGGAACAGUUAUAAGUUGCCCCGUCAGAGUUAGAAAUUAUAAAGCAAUACUUUGAGAAGAAGAGUUCUGAGCUUGGGAAAAGGAUCGAGCGGUUGGAAGAAGAAAAGAUACAUCUGAGAUUAGAUGUAGAGGUUCAAAAGUCAGAGGUAGAAAAGUUUCGGAAAAGGAAGAAUGAAGUUAAGGAGGAUUUGGAAGGUUUGAAAAUAGAUUAAAAGAAGCUGCGCUUAUCAAUGAGGACUGCGGGAUUAGGAAAAACUUUGGAACAAUGGCGUCAGGAAAUUCGAGAAGAAAAGACUAAGGUUGAUCAAUGGGAAAAGAGAUUUCAGGAGGUUGAAGCUCAAAAUGAGGCCUUGGAGAAAAGUCUGUCAGAGAGUAAAAAUGAACAAGACGAAUUAAGGGCUAGAGUAGCGGAACUUAAGAGAUCUCUAGGUCUAUACCGGAAUCGCAAUUCUGUGAUAGAGUUGAGAGCAAGCUUAAGCAAGAUCGAAGAGAUGAAAGGGAGAAUAGAAGAAUUAGAGACAACAUUACAAAAUUGUGAAAUGAGGAUUGAGUUGUUGGAGGCAAAUGAGGAACAAUGGAAAGGUCAGCUUCAUCACUCUCAAAACCAAGUUAGAAGUAGGGAUUACAUCAUGGGAGAAGCUAUAACGCAAAUUCAGGAGGUAGCUGGCGGUACAAGCAGAAAUAUUAAGUGUGAAGUAUGAGUUGGAAUCAGAUACAGGGCAGGAGCUAGCCUCGUUGCUUAGGAAAAUUAAAGCUCUGAGCAUUAGGGCGAAGUCUUACUUGCAACUCAGUUUUAUGUAAAGAAUUUUGUUUUCUAGUAAAGUUUUCUAAAUGGAAUUAGAUUAGAAUUGAUGCCUCCUUUACAUUCAUGCAUUUGCAUUACGUUACAUCAUAUGCAUUAAAGGCCAUAACAAGAUUCUAAUUAAUUAAAAAUUAUUUCAGUAAUCUGGAAACUAACAAAAACACACCAAAUAUGCAUCCUUACGGUACAAGGAAAAAAACCAAGUAAAGGGACAAAAGACUUGAAAAUUUAGAGCAAAUGCAAAGGGAUAUGCAAGAACAAAUGCAGUCACAGAUGUGAGAGUAGCUAGCUAAGAUUCAGCAAUUUGCAAAAAUCGUCUGUUACGAUCAGGCCUCAGCAAUUUCAAGCUAGAGUGUCAAUACCAAUGAAUUUCCAAGCUAGUUCAGGUUUUAAUCCUGGUAACAAAUCGAAUAAUCUAAUGGUUCCUGAUUUGGAUGAAGUUGCAAAAGAAGAAAAAGCAAGGGCAGAAUCACAAAAACAAUUAGAGGAACGGUGUAAAUGGUUGAGGAAAAGGUCAGGGCAAUGGAAGGCGUUGAUAAACAUCCUGGAAUUGAUACAAAAGAGAUAAGUUUGGUCCCAGAUUUAGUACUUCCAUAUAAGUUCAAGAUGCCAGAAUUCGAGAAGUACAAUGGAACGAGCUAUCCUGAAGCUCAUAUUACCAUGUUUUGUAGAAGAAUGACUGGGUAUGUUAAUAAUGAUCAAUUGUUAAUUCAUUGCUUCCAAGACAGUUUGGUGGGAGUAGCUGCUAAAUAGUACAAUCAGUUGAGUCAAAACAGAAUUAGUUCCUAGAGAGAUCUAGCACAGACAUUCAUGAAGCAGUACAAUCAUGUAACAGAUAUGACUCCUGAUAGAAUUACUCUGCAGAAUAUAGAGAAGAAACCAAAUGAAAGUUUCAAGCAAUAUGCAUAGAGAUGGAGGGAAAUGGCCAUCCAAGUUCAGCCGCCACUCUUGGGGAAGAAAACUACAAUGCUCUUUAUUAAUACCUUAAAAGCUCCUAUAACGCCCUCACGCCCGAGGCUGUCGCCAGAGUCAAGCUUGAGGUGUUACUAAACUUAAUUCAUCAAUUUAACAGCUCAAAUAAUUUAUUAUUAAAACUUCCAGACAAGCUGGCAAUCUGCAUUAUAGUCGCUUAAAAAUUCAUAUCUUGAGUUCUGAAACUCAAAAUCCAAUUCCGUAAAUUUUUCUUGAAACUAGACUCAUAUAUCUAUCUACUAAUUUUUUUCUAUAAUUUUUGGUCUGGAAAAUUAGUACAGUUUAUUAGUUAAAGGCUCCCCUAUUUCAGGGUUUGACUACUCUGACCCCUGUGUAUUACGAAUUAGAUAUCUCCCUGUACAGAGUUUCAAUGACUACGUCAUUUAUUUCUUAUAAAACUAGACUCAAUAAAGAUUUCAUACAUUUAAAAUAAAACUCGUAAUUGUUUUUUUACAAUUUAUAGUGAAUUUUUAAAGUCAGAAUAGGGGAUACAGAGAUCACUCUGACCCUAUUCCACAAAAACUUAAAUAUCUCACAAAAUAUAACUCAUAUACCUGUUCUGUUUCUUUCAUAUGAAAAUAGACUCAUCAAGAUUCGAUUAAAUAACUUAUUCAUCAUUUAAUUCCAUUUCUAAUAUUUUUAGUGAUUUUUCAAAUUCACAUCACUACUGCUGUCUGAAUCUAUUUUAUGGUAAAUUUUAUCUAUUUCAUGGUUUCCAUGGAUUAGCUAGCAAUUUGACAUACAUAACUCCAAAUAUGAUCAUGAUUAGCCAUUCCAAUGGCUAAUCAUUAUCAAGAAUUUCCAUACCACUCAAUAACCAUAUCAUAAGACCAUAUAUACAAAAUGAUUAUAAUGCUAUACAUGCAAUACCCAAAAUAUACAAGCCAUUAUGCCAAGAUGGUAUACGGAUAGUCUGAGCGAGCCUCUGACCGUUCCCGAUUUCCGAGCUGACUUGUCAAAACUACAAGGAAAGAAAAGGAGGGAGUAAGCAUAAAUUCUUAGCAAGUUCACAUGCAAAUAGCAAGUAACAUAACCAUAUAAGCAAACAUAAAACAUCAUUUGCAUAAUCAUCACCAAGACAUUCAUAUCAUAUUAUCAUUUAUCAUCUUACUAUAUUGUUGUUAUAUUGAGUUUUCAACCCGAGGGUUAAGUAGAUACCUGUUCAAAGUAUCCAUUUCACAACACUUACAAAAAUGUCCCUUUCAUCUCGAGUAUUCCUCCAUUUGAGUAGAACUUUGCCCGUUGAACACAUCGGAAUAUAAUUCGGAUACAUGGAAAGUUUGCACAUAAGUGCCACAUAUGUAGCCAAGCUACCAUGUAACCCGCCCAUAAGCGAACUCGGACUCAACUCAACGAGCUCAGGUGUUCGUAUCCAUAAGUGAACUCGGACUCAACUCAACGAGCUCGGAUGCCUAGUUACAUCUCACAAACUCGGACUCAACUCAACGAGUUCGGAUGCCCAAAUAUCCCAGUGACAUGUCACUUGUAUCCUAAUCCAUUCCUAAGGUUCAACGGGACCUUUUUCCCAAUCAUGUGUCUCAACCAUCUUCUACGGAAUGCCGAUACCGAUACUCGAUAGUAUUUCACAUUUUCCAAGUAUAUCACAUAAUUUGACAUAUUAUCAAACAAUUAUCACAAGUAUAAUAUUUCAUAAUAAUUAUCAUAUCAUUUAAAUAAAAUUAAAACAUUUAAAAUAAUAAAUAUGUUACCAACAUUUACAUAUGAACUUACCUCGUAUGCGAAAAUGGCUACUUUUACCAUUUCGUCCACAACUUGGUAUUUUCCCCAUUUUAGCCCAAAUUUCAGUUUUCCUUGCUCUAUCAUUUAAAAUAUAGUCUAAUUAGGACUCACAUUAUUCAAAUUGACCCAAAAUCAUAUUUUUGCAAAAUUACAAUUUUGCCCUUAAACUUUUGCAUAUUUACACUUUUGCUCCAAAGCUCGUAAAUUAAACUUCAGCCUAUUUUCUUAUGUUUUAUGACAUGCUUAUCGUUUUUCCCUUCUAUAGCAACAUCAAAUUCUCACUCUAACAUGUACUUAUGACUAUUAGGUAUUUUUACUAAUUAAGCCAUUUUACUCGUUUUCACUUAAAACCGAGUAGCACAAGUUGUCUAACAUAAUUUAAAACCUCACAUUCUAUCAUAAAACACAAAAAUACACAAAUUUCACCUAUGGGUAUUUUUCCAAUUAUGAACCCUAGGUUCAAUUAUUGCUAGUAUAAGCUAAAUCAAGUUACCGGAACUCCAAAAACGUAAAAAAAACAUUAAAAACGAGGCUAGAACGGACUUACAAUCAAGCUUGGAAGCUUGAAAAACCCUAGCCAUGGUUUCUCCUUGCUAUAAUCGGCCAUGGGGUUGAAGAUGGACACAUUUGGGUUUUAAAAUUUGUCUUUUAAUUCAUUUUUCCCCUAAAUGACCAAAAUGCCCUUUUUACUAUUCUUUAAAUUUUUACCCUUCCAAGCCCAUUUUUGUCCAGAUUUUUUUAGAAAUUGGUCAAAUUACUCUUUAAGGACCUCUAAUUAAUAAUCUAAUUCAAAAUUAUGCAAAAUGCUUCUAGAACACAAGUUUUGCAAUUUAUUCAAUUUAGUCCCUAACUUCAAAUUAAGCACUUUAUGCAUAGAAUUUCUUCACGAAAUUUUUACACAAUCAAGAAAUCAUAUCAUAGACCUCAAAAUAAUUAUAAAAUAAUUGUUUCUAUCUUGGAUUUGUGGUCUCGAAACCACCAUUCCGACUAGGCCUAAAAUCAGGAUAUUACAGCUCCGUUCAUAACUCACAUGUUAGGAAGUGCCACAAGGAGUUUUGCAGAUGUGGUCAUGACAGGAGAAAUGAUUGAGAAUGCCAUAAUAAAUGGAAGGAUAGAUGCAGGAGAAAGUUCUAAAAGGUCUGCGCCACGGAAAAAGGAAAAUGAGGUGAACAAUGCAAACAUGGGGUAUUCAAAGUCUGUUACUGUAAGUCAACCAAAGGCGAUAACUGCUGGUCAGGAUUGAUCAAGGCAGGAAUCUGGAGCAAGGCAAAACAAUGAGAAGCUUUAAUUUACACCAAUCCCCAUGACGUAUAAAGAGUUAUAUCAAAGUUUGUUCGAUGCACAUGUGGUGGCACCUUUUUAUCUAAAUCCAUUAUAGCCUCCGUUCCCUAAAUGGUACGAUGCUAAUGCUCAAUGUGAGUAUCAUGCAGGGAUCGUAGGACAUUUAGAAAAUUGUACUACUUUUAAGAAGCUGGUUGAGAGAUUUAUUCAGAUGGGCAUUGUGAAGUUCGAUAAUGUGCCUAGUGCAGAAAAUCUGUUACCUAAUCAUACUAAUAGUGGGGUAAACGUAAUAGGUAGAAGUAUGAGAAAAAGAAUCAAGAUGGAUAUUACGGAAGUAAGAACUCCUUUAAAGUGGGUCUGGAAGGAGAUGGUAAAAAACGAGUUAGUUAUGAUGAAUUCAGAAGAAAGUGGUGAUGAAAUAGAGAAUUAUUGUGAGUACCACUAUAAAGAGGGACAUGAAAUUCAGGAAUAUGACGAGUUCAGAGCUAUUAUCCAGGGCUUUAUGGACAACAAGGAAGUAGAAUUUUAUGAAGAGGUUAAGGAAGAGGAGUAUAUAUGCAUGUCAAAAUCCACGUCGAGUGUCACGAAAGUUAAUUAUCCUGUGGUUAUUAUUUCACGUCCUAAGAAUGAAGCAGGAAUUCAGAUGAGACUGAAAAUCAUAAUUCAGAAGCCAGCGGUUUUCUCUUACAAGGAUAAAAAAAGGGUCCAUUGGAAUUGUGAUUGUAAUGUGACAGUCCCGGGAAUGGAGAGUUCAGUCAGCCCGUUAAAGGAGGAUUAAAAUGUAGGUUCUCACACGCACAGUAAAAGACGAUAUGAUUUGACAAAUGCCCGAACAGAAUUUGUAAAAGGAAAAGAUGUGACGGUUGAACAAAAGAAGGGAAAAACGGUCGAAUAUGGGGUACCUGUUAAUGAACCAGUGAAAGAAGAAGAAGCUAAAGAAUUCAUUAUAUUUCUGAAACAUAGUGAGUACAAUGUGGUGGAAAAGUUGCAUAAACAACCAACCCACAUAUCUAUAUUAGCUUUACUCCUAAGCUCAGAGGUAUAUCGAAGUGCAUUGAUGAAGGUGCUAAACGAGACGUAUGUGAGCAAUGAUAUUUCUGUCAACAAGUUGGAUUGGAUGGUUAAUAACAUAAGUACAAACAACUUCAUCUUUUUCAAUAAUGAUGAGAUACCACCAGGAGGUAUGGGGUCUACCAAAGCCUUGCAUAUAACCACCAGAUGUAAAGGGUACACAUUGCUAGGGGUUCUGGUAGAUAAUGGGUCGGCACUGAAUGUACUGCCUUUGUCCACACUAAACAGGUUACCUGUGGAUAGCUCACACAUGAAAGGAUGUCAGAAUAUAAUGCGAGUAUUUGAUGGCACAGAGAGGAGAGUCAUGGGGAGGAUAGAAAUACCUUUGUUGAUUGGCCCAACUACAUAUGAGGUAGAUUUCUUUGUAAUGGAUAUUAAGCCCUGUAACACCCCGUACCCGAGACCGUUUUCGGAGUCGGACACGAAGUGUGAACGAACUUAACUCAUUUAUUUAUACAGUUCAUUUUACCAUUUCCAGACAAGCUGGCCAACUGCGUCACUGCCACCUUAAAAAUCAUAUCUCGAGUUACAAAACUUGAAAACCAGUUCCGUAAAUUUUUCCUGAAACUAGACUCAUGUUUCCAUCUACAAAUUGUUUUCUAGAAUUUUUUGGUCCAGCCAAUUAGUACAGUUUAUUAGUUAAAUUCUCCCCUAUUUCAGGGUUUCUACUACUCUGACCUCUGUGUAUUACGAACCAGAUAUCUCUCUGUAUAGAGAUUCAAUGACUAUGCCGUUUGUCCCUAAUAAAAGUAGACUCAAUAUUGAAUCUGUAUAUAUAAAGUAUGACUUCUAAUUAUCUUUGUAGAAUUUAUGGUGAAUUUCUAAAUUCGGGACAGGGGAUCCAGAAAUCGUUCUGGUCCUGUUUCACAAGAUUUUAAAUAUCUCAUACAUUAUAGCUCAUAUACUUGUUUUAAUUCUUCCAUGUAAAAAUAGACUCAUCGAGCUUUGAUUCUAUAAUUUAUCCAUUAUUUAAUUCCAUUUCUAGUAUUUUUAGUGAUUUUUCAAUUUCACAACACUACUGCUGUCUGCCUCUAUUAUUAGAGUAAAAUUUUUUUCUAUUAGAGUAAUUUAGCAUGCAUAUCACCAAGUAUGAUCAUGACUAGCCAUACCCAAGGCUAAUCAUUACCAAGCAUUUCCUUACUACUCAAUAACCAUAUCAUGAGUGUAACACCGGAAAUGAUUAGCCAUGACAAACGGCAUAAUAAUUAAAUAGACUUUAACCGUUACUUAUAACUAAGUAUCAUAAGACCCAAUUCAACUUAACAUUUACGCCAUUUUCGCAUGGCUAAAAGUAUACAUACCAAAGUUCAAACAAAACAUAAUAGCCUAUACAUGCCGAAAUGUUCUCUUAGACCAACUAAGAAGAAGAUACAAAAAAGUUGCAAGCUGGUGCGAUGACUUCGACGGUGAUCCCGAGCACACAAAAAUGGAUCAAAGGAACCUAAAUAAGUGACAAAUAAACACACCAAUGAGUAUAUAACUCAGUAAGUCAUAAGCAUUACAUACCGUAUAAUUAUAAGAGAUCAUAAGAGAAGCAAAUAAUGCAAAAAAAAUCAGUUACUCCAACUAUACCGAGCUACGCUAUCAUUUCUUAGAAUUUCGAUUCAAUCUCAUGCCAAUUCCUACAAUCAAAUCACACACCAAAACAACCCAAUUGAUUUAGACCCGAUCCCUCAAAGCAUGGAAUUUUGAUGCACUAGAUAAAUUUGUAUCUACUCAGUACAUGCCUCAAGUUCGAUACUUUAGUUACUAGUUCUACCACUUCGUUCUUUCACGCUCAUUUUAUAUUAUUAAUCGAAUUUGCACACAUAGUGCUCGUCACACUCGCACACAUAGUGCCAUAGCACACCGCACACUCAGUGCAUUGGAUUUUCUCUUAUACUUCAACACCCAAAUCGGCACACAUAGUGCUACUUAAUUCCGCACACAUAGUGCCACAUGUUAACUCAUUUUGAUAAGGAAAUUUACUUAAUUUAAAUAGCACAUAUGGUCAUAUUAAUAAAUAGGAAAAUUAUUCCAAGAGAACUCCUAACGAAAGGAAUCCCUUUUAUGAUUCACUAAUAUUAUUUAUAUACAAGCUAAUCAACCUCACAGGAGUACUUAAGGACUUACCUUAUAUUGGAUGAAAUGAUUCCCAAUCGACUACUCGAUUAUCUUUGCUUUGCCUUUGUUUGAUUCUCCCCCUUUGAUGUCUUGAUCUAGAAUAAACACAUUUAGUAGUUUAAUUUUCUUGCUGGAUACUUAUGUGUAUAAUUUAAUGGUUUUCACUCCAUUUCACAACUAUCCUUGUUCAAAAUAUCAAAACCUUAACCAAUAUUCGAUUAAUGCUUCAAGGCCGAAUGUAUUAUCACUAUUAAGGUAACCUAGUCUCAAGUAUUUUUAAUUCUAAUAUACAACAUCAUGAAUCAACUCAACCUUAUAAGCCAAUAUUACUCCUUCAAUCGAUUAUCGAGAGUUAACAAAAAAUAUUAUCACAAACAUAUACACCUAUAUGGCCGAAUAUACCAAAUUAAAUUUAACCUUACUUAUGUAAUUACCUAUAAGUUAUUAUACAUCAAAUUUCAUACAUGUAACCUUUUAAUGCCUAUUAACCAUUCUUUUGAUCUUAACCUAAAAUGACAACUCCCAUACUCAACAUUUCAACCGAAUUAUCCCUAUCACCCGAACUAAAAUUCGCACCUUAACUUCAUACAUUUUUUUUAUUAUGACUUUCAUAAUUCAUUCGGCCCCAUCAAAGGACCCCUUUAACAUACAAGGAAAAUAAUCAUAGAGAAAGAAAUUAACAUUCUAAUUAGACUCAAUGUAACCGAAUGUACCAAGUGCUACUAACCUACUUAUUCAAAAAUCUUCAUUCCAUACUAUCAUCCCCCUUUUAUCCCAUACAACAUGAAAAUGACCUCCAAUGUUAACACUUAGAUUCACGACAUGAUGCCCAAACCACCAUAAAAGCUCCAACUUUCUUAACAUUACUAAGAGUGCAUCCAAUUACUAACUUAACCUAUCAUAAAACUAAAUCAACAAUUCAAAACUUACCUCUUACUAGCUAAAGAAGAAUGCCGAAUUUCUUUUGGCAAGUUCCCCUUAUUUCUUCAUCUCUUCAUUCGGCCAAGAAGAACCGAUUUCUUCUUUUGUUUUCAUCACAUUUUCAUUCUUUUUUUUCUUUUAUUAUUUCCUUUCUUUUACAUAAAAUAAUGACCACUUCAUGGAAAUUUACCACAUAUUCUAAUAUAUGCUCCAUCAUGGCCGGCCACUAUGUAUAAAAAAAGGAGUAUUUGACAUGCAAAACCAUUAUUUUCACUACAUGCUUUAAUAGGUCCUUAUAGAUUAACCUAUCACAUUUCAAAAGUGUCACACAUAAGUCCUAUUAACUAAAUUCACAUGCAAUCGACUAAAUCGAAGCUUAAAACUUUCACACAUUCAUAUUCACAUACUCUAGACAAUAAUUAUCACAUUCAAAUACUUCGGUGACUCGGUUUAGCGGUCCCGAAACCACUUCCCGACUAGGGUCAAUUUAGGGCUGUCACAAAGCCCUCUUACAACUACUUGCUAGGGAGACCUUGGAUACAUUCAGCGGGGGUAGUGCCUUCAUCAUUACAUCAAAAGUUAAAGCUAGUAUCAGAAGAACGGUUGGUAACGAUAAACGCUGAAGAGGACAUUAUUGUAAGCAGUGAUGCAUCGUAUUUAGAGAUAGACGAUGAAGCUAUUGAGUGUUCUUUUCGAUCUUUGAAGUUUGUGAAUGCAACAUUCAUCACUGAGGGGAGUAGAAUUCUGGUGCCGAAAAUGUCUAAAAUUACAAUGAUGGGUUUACAGUUGAUGGUAGGACGUGGAGCUUUACCAAGAAAGGGACUUAGGAGAUGUCUCCAGGAAAGAAUUGAGGUUCCGAUGUUGAAGGACAAGCAUGAUCGCUUUGGUUUGGGGUUCAAGCCAGAUGCAAGACAAAGGAAAAAGGGAAUUGGAAAGAAUGUAGGAAAGAAGAAGAGCACGUGUGAGUGGUGGAGAAAUUAAGUAGGAGCCCAUUAUAAUCCCUCACAUUUCUAGGACUUUUUUAUUAGGAGGGAUUAUUUAUCCUGAACAAGGGAGGACAGAGAAAGAGGGGAUUUCGUGUGGAAGUGUGUACAUCAAUGCCAUAUUUGAAGAGACAAUUAAAGAGGGGAUUUCGUCAGAUAUUCGUCCAUAUGAGCCUGGGAAUGUUCUAGACAAUUGGACUGCAGAAGACCUUCCUGUAGUUUCUAGAGCUUACUCAGAGUAAUGUUCAAAACAAACUUAUUGUUUUAAGCCUAGAGGCAAUAAAGAUUUCUUUAUGAAAUAGGCUCAUGUUUAAACAUCAUUAUUUCAAUGAAGUACAUUUUUCGCUAUCAUUUUGAGCAAACAUUCUCUUAUUCUUUUCACAAGCAAUUAUGUUAUUCUUUCCAUUUAAAUGAUUAUCCUGAUUCUUUCUUUAAUUAUUCUUUUAUUUCAUUCAUAAACAUACCAUACAAGACAAUAAUUAUCAAAUUCAUUUAUUCUUUGUAUAUUUUUUGUACCUAUAAUAGGUCCCUGGAUAUUAAUAUCAUGAGUGACGCUAUUAUUAACUCAGAAUCACUAUUUGAUUAAGACAUGUGUUUAGAGGGACCUUAGGACUUUAAAGAUGACAAAGAUUGUGAUUUAUCUCCGGACUUGUUAAGGAUAGUAGAAGAAGAGGAAAAUCAAAUUUUACCUCAUAAAGAAGUAGUGGACAUGGUGACUCUAGAAGAUGAGAAAGUUGUAAAAAUUGGAACAUGCAUAACUAAAGAAACAAAGCGAGACCUUGUUGGGUUGCUUCAGGAAUUCAAAGGUGUUUUUACAUGGUUAUACCAGGAUAUGCCCGGGUUAAGCACCGAUAUUAUAGUACAUUGCCUUCCCACAAAAGAAGAUUGCAAACCAGUACAGCAGAAACUUCGAAGAAUAAGGCCAGAUAUUGUCUUAAAGAUAAAGGAGGAAGUCAAAAAGCAAUUCGAUGCUGGAUUCCUUCAGGUGAUCAAAUACUUAGAAUGGGUAGCCAACGUUGUGCCUAUUCCUAAGAAAGACGGAAAGGUACGAAUGUGUACAGAUUAUAGAGAUCUAAAUAAGGCUAGCCCAAAGGACAAUUUCCUCUUGUCUCACAUUGAUACGCUAAUGGACAAUACAACUGGUUACUCGUUGUUUUCCUUCAUGGAUGGCUUCUCGAGGUAUAAUCAGAUCAAGAUGCAUCUAGAGGAUAUGGGAAAGACUACUUUCAUAACUUUAUAGGGCACAUUCUGUUAUAAAGUGAUGCCGUUCGGACUAAAGAAUGCUGGAGCGACAUAUCAAAGGGCCAUGGUGACCUUAUUCCAUGAUAUGAUGCACAAGGAGAUUGAAGUUUAUGUUAAUGAUAUGAUAGCCAAAUCUCGAACUAAAAAGGAACACAUCCAAGUGUUGAGAAAGUUGUUCAUGAGAUUGAAAAAAUUUCAGUUAAAGCUUAAUCCAACCAAGUGUACUUUUGAGGCUAGAUCCGGAAAGCUAGUGGGCUUUGUAGUCAGUGAGAGAGGAAUUGAGAUUGAUUCAGACAAAGUCCGAGCUAUACAAGAGUUGUCUCCACCGCGCACUCAAAAGGAAGUUCGAGGCUUCCUGGGAAGAUUAAAUUACGUUGCUCGGUUUAUUUCUCAAUUAACAGAGAAAUGUGACCCCAUAUUUCGUCUUCUUAAAAAACAUAAUCCGGGAGAAUGAGAUGAUGAAUGCCAGAGAGCUUUUGGUAAAGUUAAAAAAUAUUUGUCGAGUCCUCCAGUGUUAUCACCUCCAAGCUCAGAUAGGCCGUUGAUACUGUAUUUAACCAUGUUUGGUAAUUUUAUGGGAUGUGUGCUUGGUCAACAUGAUGAAUCAGGAAGAAAAGAAAGGGCGAUAUAUUACCUCAGUAAGAAAUUCACUGAAUGUGAAUUGAGAUAUUCGCCAAUUGAAAAAUUGUGUUGUGCUUUGGUCUGGACAGCUCGGAGGUUAAGGCAAUACAUGUUGUACCAUACGACUUGGUUAAUCUCAAAGAUGGAUCCUCUAAAGUAUAUGAUGGAGUGAAAUGUCUUGAAUGGGAGGAUGACUAGGUGGCAGAUUCUGCUUUCUGAAUUUGACAUAAUCUACGUGAGUCAAAAAGUCGUGAAAGGGAGUGCAAUAGCAGAUUUUUUGGCCAGUCGUACUUUAAAAGAUUAUGAGCCCUUCAAUUUUAAUUUUCCCAAUGAAGAGAUAGUGUAUGUGGCAGUUACUGAAGAAGAUGUUACAAAAGAUCACUCUUGGAAAUUAAAUUUUGACGAAGCCUCAAACGCUAUGGGUAAUAGAAUUGGAGCAGUUUUGGUAUCCCCUGGUGAAGAUCAUUAUCCAUUCACAUGUAAAUUGGAUUUUGAUUGCAUGAAUAAUAUGGUAGAGUAUAAAGCAUGUAUUAUGGGGCUCCGAGCAGCUAUAGAGCGCAAGAUCAUGUUACUAGAAGUAUAUGGAGAUUCUACGCUAGUAAUUUACCAACUUCGAGGUGAAUGGGAGACAAGAGAUUCCAAAUUAAUCAAUUACAGAAGGUUAAUGCUGGGGUUAGUUGAAGAGUUUGAUGAUAUUACCUUCAAUUAUCUCUCGCGCGAUGAAAACCAGAUGGCAGAUGCUUUGGCUACUUUGGCUUCCAUAAUCAAAGUAAGCAGACAAGAAGAUAUGAAACCCAUUCGGAUGAGUAUUUGUGAGGACCCGACUUAUUUUUAUAAUAUAAAGGAAGAAGAGAGAGAUGAUCAUUCUUGGUAUCAGGAUAUAUUGCGAUACAUAAGAAAUUGUGAAUAUCCAGAUCAAGCCAUGGAGAAUAACAAAAGAACGUUAAGAAGGCUCACUUAUGAUUAUGUCUUAGAUGGGGAGAUCCUGUAUAAAAGAAGAAAUGAUCAAGUACUUUUGAGAUGUGUGGAUGCUGUAGAGGCCAAGAAAAUCUUGGAAGAAGUUCAUGAAGGCGUUUGUGGAACACACGCUAAUGGGUUCACAAUGGCCAGACAAAUUAUGAGGUUUGAAUAUUAUUGGUCGACUAUGGAAGGAGACUAUUUCAAUUAUGCUAAGAGAUGUCACAAAUGCCAAAUUUAUGGUGAUAAGAUUCAUGUACCUCCCUCGCCUUUACAUGUUAUGACUUCCCCAUAGCCAUUUUCCAUGUGGGGCAUGGAUGUCAUAGGACCAAUCUCACCGAAGGUGUCAAAUAGGUAUCGUUCCAUUUUUAUGGUCAUUGAUUAUUUUACCAAGUGGGUGGAGGCUGCUUCAUAUGCCAAUGUAACUAAAUCGACAGUCAGUAGAUUUUUUAAAAAGGAAAUUAUAUGUCGAUAUGGGAUGCCUGAGAGGAUCAUAUCUGAUAAUGCAUUAAAUUUGAACAAUAAUACAAUAGCAGAGGUCUGCAGCCAGUUUAAGAUUAGACAUCAUAAUUCAUCACCAUAUCGCCCAAAAAUGAAUGGGGCAAUAGAAGCAGCCAAUAAAAAUAUCAAGAAGAUUGUGGAGAAAAUGACUGAAACUUACAGAGAUUGGCAUGAGAAGUUGUCAUUUGCUCUUUUUGCUUAUCGAACAUCUGUCAGAACUUCUAUUGGGGCAACACCCUUCUCAUUAGUUUAUGGAAUGAAAGCUAUUCUACCCAUUGAGAUAGAGAUACCUUCUCUUCGAGUUUUGUCAGAAUUCAGGUUAGAUGAAGUAGAAUGGAUACAGUCUCAAUAUGAUCAGUUGAAUUUGAUUGAGGAAAAGAGGCUAAGGGCUAUCCAGCAUGGUCAGAUGUAUCAAAAAAGAAUGAUGCGGGCUUAUGACAAAAAGGUUCACCCACGAGAAUUUCAUGAGGGAGAUUUGGUUCUGAAAAAGAUUCUUCCUAUACAAAAGGAUUUCAAAGGAAAAUGAAUGCCAAAUUAGGAGGGGCCUUAUGUGGUGAAGAAAGCUUUCUCUGGAGGAGCAUUAAUCCUAGCUGAAAUAAACGAAAAAAACUUGUCUAAUCCAGUAAAUUCAGAUUCAGUCAAAAAGUAUUGCACUUAAUAAGAAGAAGAGGCCAAAGUGAAUACCUGCAAAGGGCGCUUUGAGACCUAAUAAAAAGGGCCAAAGUGAAAACCCGCAAAGGGCGUUUUGAGACUCAAUAAAAAUGAAAAAAGAAAAAAGAAAGAAAAAGGAGAGGCCAAGGUGAAAACCCGCAAAGGGCGCCUUGAGACCAAAUGGGAUUUGAGUUGAAAACCUGAAAAGGGUGGCUUAAAUGUUGAUCUAAAAUGGGGAAGUUGAUGAUCUUGCUAUACUUGAAUUAACAAGGAAAGGGUAUGUUGCAUCUUGGGGCAUUAACAAAGUACUUCUGAUCUUCUAAACACAUGUCAAGUUUGAAUUGGUCUUUAAGAAGGUCGUACGGAGAAGCUCAGUUUGCGAUAUCAAGGGUACCUAGUCUUCAUUUUAUUUCCAGUAAAUUGGCAAUUUUUGAAUUAGUCUUUCUUUUCAGGAUAUACAUUCUCAAAUCAAUGGCCAUUUUUGUUUCUUUGAUGAUUUAUUCACUUUAAGCUUAAAUUCAAUUCCAUUCUUAUCUAUUAUUACGAUUUGAUUGCAAGCAUGUUGCAUUAAAAUAAUGAUGAAUGAACUAGUAAUGUUUUCACAAUAGAAGUUUCGUAUAUUGCUCUAGGAGUUUCUAGAUAAUGCAGGAAUCUGAAAUAGGAUUAUUGUUUAGAAUGCACCAAAGCUCAAGGACAUACUUAAAUAAAUCGCCUCUUUGGAUUUUUGAAACAAAAGGACAAGAUAUGGCAUUGGUGAUACAAUUUUGAAAAAUGAUCAAUAUAAAAAGGAAUUAUUCUCAAGUAAGGGGAAAUGAUAUUUUGUAUCCAUGCAAAUAUAAAAAAUGCACAUUUGACUAUAACACUCGAAGAGUGAGGUAGUAGAUCAAACAGAGGCAAAUUCAACUAUGAGUUGCAAUGCUUUUGUCUCAAAAAGAAUAGGGGAAGGGACGUUGGAAUUUUAGUGGGGCAGGCUUGCUGAGCAGAAUAUGAUUGUUUCUUUGGGAUACUUUGUCAAGAUGAUGGUUGAGCGAAUACUUCAUUGACAGGAUAUUACCUUAAUUUUUAAAAUGGAAUCAUUCUCAUUUCUGCAUAUAUUAUUCAUACCACAUUUAGUUAAGAGCCUUGGAUUCAUUACAAUCAUAGCAUCCUAAUUGUUUGGCAUAAACAUGCGCAUAUAAAAUGGAGUCUACAGGACAUGUUCCCUAGAGGACAGUGCAGUGACAUUGGUGAAGUCAGAUCUUAUCUCCCUGAAGUUGCAGCGGAGUAGAUUAAAGAUGAUGAAUCUUAUCUCCAUGUGUCGGCAAUGAAGCAGAUUUAAGCCACCAGCCUUAUCUCUCUGAGGUAGCAAGAGAGCAGGUUGAAGAAUGAGUCUUAUCUUUCUGAGAUAGCAAGAAAGCAGACUGAAGAUUGAAGAUCUUAUCUCCCUAAGCAGUAGUGGAGCAGAUCGAAGAUGGUGAAUCUUAUCUCCAUGUAUAGGCAAUGGAGCAGAUUUAAGUCACCAUCUCUCUGAUGUAGCAAGAGAGCAGGUUGAAGAUUGAGUCUUAUCUUCCUAAGGUAGCAAGGAAGCAGACUGAAGUUUGAAGAUCUUAUCUCCCUAAGCAGUAGUGGAGCAGAUCGAAGAUGGUGAAUCUUAUCUCCAUGUAUUGUCAAUGGAGCAUUUUUGCCACUAGCCUUAUCUCUCUGAGGUAGGAAGAGGGCAGGUUGAAGUAAUUGGUCUUAUCUUCCUGAGGUAGCAAGGAAGUAGAUUGAAGAUUGAGGAUCUUGUUUCCCUUAAGCAGUUGUGGAACAAGUCGAAGACAGCAAAUCUUAUCUCCAUGUAUUGGCAAUGGAGCAUAUUUAAGUCAUCAGCCUUGUCUCCCUAAAGUUGUAGUGGGGCAGGUUGAAAUUACCAAUUUUAUUCUCCUUAAAGUUCUAGUGGUGAAUUGGAACGAGGCAACAUGAAGAAAAGAAGGGCCAAAAAGUCAAAGAUACAGUAAGACCUGGGCAAAAUUGGUCCUUUUAAGGUCUUUGCUUCAUCCUUGUUACACGAAAUUGUGCAAAGAGGGGCAGCUAUAGCAGGGCCAAUUUGCCCGGCCCGCAAUAAACCAAAAAAAUAAGUUAAAAAACCAAAAUAAAAAAAAACAAAUAAAGGAUACAAAUUUAAAAGUACAGUGUCCAUUUACAAAAUUUUUGGGCCAAAACCAAACCAAACCCAAAUAUUAAAAUUAAAUACCAAAUUAAUUCCUAACCCAAUAAACCUAGCCCGAAUGGCCUAAUAAUCCUAACCCAAUGAACCCAAAGGCCUAAAUGCAAAAAUGGCCCAAUGGCCCAAAUGACCCAAAGGCUGAUUUCAGAAGGGGAAACCCUAGUCUGCUGAUUAGCGCCGCAACAAUGGACUUCGCCCCUAGCCAUCCGAUUUCAAAGGAAGUUUCGGGAAUGCGCUAGAGCAGCGCCAGAGGGUCGGGCUCCCACGAGCAAAUUUUCACGCUUGGCUUCCACGUCACAAGGGUCUUCUCCUCCAUAUAACCAUGCUUGCAACAGAAUACACGAGAAACAACCAAUAAAAUACAUAGCCAAAUGACAGAAGGAAAAUAUGAUUUUUAUUUUUUAUUUAUUUUAUAAAUCUGGCUAUAAAAGUCCAUCAUUUGUACUCUGAAAAGGUUAGGCAUAUUGAGUAAAAAGAAACUAGAAAUUAUUAAAAGGUGAUUUCGAAUGCCUCAUAUUUGUUUUCCCUAAUUUUGGUCCAUAUUUUUUAUUUUUCAUGUGGGUUUCUGCAUAAAAAAGGUAAAAAAAAAAAAAGCUUACCUUCAAAUGAGCCAUUGGAGGCCGUAUCUUCUUUGUUGAAAUCGAAACUUGAGAUAGGUUCUCGAGGCUAAAAUCUGACCUUUUGAGGCAAGAUUUAGAAUGGGGGAAUGGAAUGAUUUCAUCGCCUGCUAUCAUCCACCGAUUAUAAUGGUGGAAUGGUGGUGGUUGAAUGGCAGAUCGAAAAGGGGUAAACAUCUAGGGUUUUCCCUUUUCUUCCCCCCAUUUGUUUUGCUGCGAUGCUUAGAUUUGUUUUAGGUUUG
This 21704-nucleotide long non-coding RNA is filed under the name Gossypium barbadense (sea-island cotton). RNAcentral describes it as "long non-coding RNA (GBAR_LNC011601)". The record is from RNAcentral. Lineage: Eukaryota; Viridiplantae; Streptophyta; Magnoliopsida; Malvales; Malvaceae.